Molecule: ribosomal RNA, 253 nt
Filed under: uncultured bacterium
Lineage: Bacteria
Description: partial 16S ribosomal RNA
Rfam family: Bacterial small subunit ribosomal RNA
Source: RNAcentral
UACGUAGGGGGCAAGCGUUGUCCGGAAUCAUUGGGCGUAAAGCGCGUGUAGGCGGCUUGGUAAGUCUGCUCUGAAAGCCCGGGGCUCAACCCUGGGAGGCGGGUGGAUACUGCCGAGCUCGAGUCCGGAAGAGGCGAGUGGAAUUCCUGGUGUAGCGGUGAAAUGCGCAGAUAUCAGGAGGAACACCAAUGGCGAAGGCAGCUCGCUGGGACGGUACUGACGCUGAGACGCGAAAGCGUGGGGAGCAAACAGG